AAUAUGUAUGUUGAUUAUACAAUGAGUACAACCAGUAAAUUUCUUGAAUAUUUAUAUAUGUUGCUUUAUUUUCCGAGUACUCAUUUAUUCUUGAAUUUGCACUCGCAAUCUGAUAAAGUAAAUUAUAUUUGAUAUGAUAUACGUAUCUGAUCAAGUAAAGUCUAUUUGAUAUGAUAUACGUUUCUUUGAUGAUUUUGUGACUAUUUAUUAUGCCUUGAUAUGGGACUUGUCAGUAACUCCAUGCUAACGGAGAGUAGUUAGCCUGUGUGCACAUAGUAUUCUGU
RNAcentral lists this long non-coding RNA (284 nucleotides) under Populus tremula. RNAcentral's name for it is "long non-coding RNA (PTRE_LNC002240)". Lineage: Eukaryota; Viridiplantae; Streptophyta; Magnoliopsida; Malpighiales; Salicaceae. The record is from RNAcentral.